This 995-nucleotide ribosomal RNA is filed under the name uncultured bacterium. Its description in RNAcentral is "bacterial SSU rRNA". It matches the Rfam family "Bacterial small subunit ribosomal RNA", at positions 28 to 1017 of the family's 1533-position model. The record is from RNAcentral.
AUUGAACGCUGGCGGCAGGCUUAACACAUGCAAGUCGAGCGGAGAUGAGGUGCUUGCACCUAAUCUUAGCGGCGGACGGGUGAGUAAUGCUUAGGAAUCUGCCAUUUAGUGGCGGACAACAUUCCGAAAGGGAUGCUAAUACCGCAUACGCCCUACGGGGGAAAGCAGGGGAUCUUCGGACCUUGCGCUAAAUGAUGAGCCUAAGUCGGAUUAGCUAGUUGGUGGGGUAAAGGCCUACCAAGGCGACGAUCUGUAGCGGGUCUGAGAGGAUGAUCCGCCACACUGGGACUGAGAUACGGCCCAGACUCCUACGGGAGGCAGCAGUGGGGAAUAUUGGACAAUGGGCGGAAGCCUGAUCCAGCCAUGCCGCGUGUGUGAAGAAGGCCUUUUGGUUGUAAAGCACUUUAAGCGAGGAGGAGGCUACCUGGAUUAAUACUCUGGGAUAGUGGACGUUACUCGCAGAAUAAGCACCGGCUAACUCUGUGCCAGCAGCCGCGGUAAUACAGAGGGUGCGAGCGUUAAUCGGAUUUACUGGGCGUAAAGCGUGCGUAGGCGGCUGAUUAAGUCGGAUGUGAAAUCCCUGAGCUUAACUUAGGAAUUGCAUUCGAUACUGGUCAGCUAGAGUAUGGGAGAGGAUGGUAGAAUUCCAGGUGUAGCGGUGAAAUGCGUAGAGAUCUGGAGGAAUACCGAUGGCGAAGGCAGCCAUCUGGCCUAAUACUGACGCUGAGGUACGAAAGCAUGGGGAGCAAACAGGAUUAGAUACCCUGGUAGUCCAUGCCGUAAACGAUGUCUACUAGCCGUUGGGGCCUUUGAGGCUUUAGUGGCGCAGCUAACGCGAUAAGUAGACCGCCUGGGGAGUACGGUCGCAAGACUAAAACUCAAAUGAAUUGACGGGGGCCCGCACAAGCGGUGGAGCAUGUGGUUUAAUUCGAUGCAACGCGAAGAACCUUACCUGGCCUUGACAUACUAGAAACUUUCCAGAGAUGGAUUGGUGC